RNAcentral lists this ribosomal RNA (229 nucleotides) under uncultured eukaryote. RNAcentral describes it as "partial 18S ribosomal RNA". It matches the Rfam family "Eukaryotic small subunit ribosomal RNA", at positions 1208 to 1456 of the family's 1831-position model. The record is from RNAcentral.
GGAAACCUUACUAGGGUAAGACAUUGGUAUGAUUGACAGAUUACUUGAUCUUUCUUGAUUUGGUGGGUGGUGGUGCAUGGUCGUUCUUAGUUGGUGGAGUGAUUUGUCUGGUUAAUUCCGUUAACGAACGAGACGACCGCCUGCUAAAUAGUUACGUUAACGCUUGCGUUGGCGGGCAACUUCUUAGAGGGACUUUUGGUGACUAACCAAAGGAAGCUGGUCGCAAUAA